ACGCCGGAAGACCAAGGGUUCCUGUCCAACGUUAAUCGGGGCAGGGUGAGUCGACCCCUAAGGCGAGGCCGAAAGGCGUAGUCGAUGGGAAACAGGUUAAUAUUCCUGUACUUGGUGUUACUGCGAAGGGGGGACGGAGAAGGCUAUGUUAGCCGGGCGACGGUUGUCCCGGUUUAAGCAUGUAGGCGGAACGAUUAGGUAAAUCCGGUCGUUUAUUAACGCUGAGGUGUGAUGACGAGGCACUACGGUGCUGAAGUAACAAAUGCCCUGCUUCCAGGAAAAGCCUCUAAGCAUCAGGUAACAUCAAAUCGUACCCCAAACCGACACAGGUGGUCAGGUAGAGAAUACCAAGGCGCUUGAGAGAACUCGGGUGAAGGAACUAGGCAAAAUGGUGCCGUAACUUCGGGAGAAGGCACGCUGAUAUGUAGGUGAAGCCCCUGCGGGUGGAGCUGAAAUCAGUCGAAGAUACCAGCUGGCUGCAACUGUUUAUUAAAAACACAGCACUGUGCAAACACGAAAGUGGACGUAUACGGUGUGACGCCUGCCCGGUGCCGGAAGGUUAAUUGAUGGGGUUAGCGGCAACGCGAAGCUCUUGAUCGAAGCCCCGGUAAACGGCGGCCGUAACUAUAACGGUCCUAAGGUAGCGAAAUUCCUUGUCGGGUAAGUUCCGACCUGCACGAAUGGCGUAAUGAUGGCCAGGCUGUCUCCACCCGAGACUCAGUGAAAUUGAACUCGCUGUGAAGAUGCAGUGUACCCGCGGCAAGACGGAAAGACCCCGUGAACCUUUACUAUAGCUUGACACUGAACACUGGUCCUUGAUGUGUAGGAUAGGUGGGAGGCUUUGAAGCGUGGACGCCAGUCUGCGUGGAGCCAACCUUGAAAUACCACCCUUUAAUGGCUGGUGUUCUAACGUAGACCCGUGAUCCGGGUUGCGGACAGUGUCUGGUGGGUAGUUUGACUGGGGCGGUCUCCUCCCAAAGAGUAACGGAGGAGCACGAAGGUUAGCUAAUCCUGGUCGGACAUCAGGAGGUUAGUGCAAUGGCAUAAGCUAGCUUGACUGCGAGAGUGACGGCUCGAGCAGGUGCGAAAGCAGGUCAUAGUGAUCCGGUGGUUCUGAAUGGAAGGGCCAUCGCUCAACGGAUAAAAGGUACUCCGGGGAUAACAGGCUGAUACCGCCCAAGAGUUCAUAUCGACGGCGGUGUUUGGCACCUCGAUGUCGGCUCAUCACAUCCUGGGGCUGAAGUAGGUCCCAAGGGUAUGGCUGUUCGCCAUUUAAAGUGGUACGCGAGCUGGGUUUAGAACGUCGUGAGACAGUUCGGUCCCUAUCUGCCGUGGGCGCUGGAGAAUUGAGGGGGGCUGCUCCUAGUACGAGAGGACCGGAGUGGACGCAUCACUGGUGUUCGGGUUGUCAUGCCAAUGGCAUUGCCCGGUAGCUAAAUGCGGAAAAGAUAAGUGCUGAAAGCAUCUAAGCACGAAACUUGCCCCGAGAUGAGUUCUCCCUGACCCUUUAAGGGUCCUGAAGGAACGUUGAAGACUACGACGUUGAUAGGUCGGGUGUGUAAGCGCAGCGAUGCGUUGAGCUAACCGAUACUAAUGAACCGUGAGGCUUAACCUUACAACGCCGAAGCUGUUUCGGCG
RNAcentral lists this ribosomal RNA (1638 nucleotides) under Enterobacter sp. AG326. RNAcentral describes it as "partial 23S ribosomal RNA". It matches the Rfam family "Bacterial large subunit ribosomal RNA", at positions 1334 to 2925 of the family's 2925-position model. The record is from RNAcentral. Lineage: Bacteria; Pseudomonadati; Pseudomonadota; Gammaproteobacteria; Enterobacterales; Enterobacteriaceae.